CUUUAUACAAGCCAUUUCACUGCCUCAAAGCAAUGGUUUUAGGUUCUUAUCCAAUUUGGGACCAAAUAUCGAUAGGUCUUUCUUCUCACUUCUAAACAUUCUUCAUGCUUCUCUAGCACUAGUAAUCAAUCAAAUUCAUUGUAUUAUAACAUAUUCUAAACCAAAUAACUUUAUACAAGCCAUUCACUGACUCAAAGCAAUGGUUUUUGGGCUCUUAUCCCAUUUGGGACCAAUAUCAACAAAUCUUUCUUCUCACUUCUAAACAUUCUUCAUGUAUCUCUAGCACUUGUAAUCAAUCAAAUUCAUUGUAUUAUAACAUAUUCUAAACCAAAAUAACUUUAUACAAGCCAUUCACUGCCUCAAAGCAAUGGUUUUGGGUUCUUAUCCCAUUUGGGACCAA
Molecule: long non-coding RNA, 400 nt
Filed under: Capsella rubella
Lineage: Eukaryota; Viridiplantae; Streptophyta; Magnoliopsida; Brassicales; Brassicaceae
Description: long non-coding RNA (CRUB_LNC000034)
Source: RNAcentral